UGGCUGAAGGAGGAGCCAGUCAUCCCUCCUCCUGCCUCCAGCUCUGUCUGGUCCUGGGGAAGGCUAGGCUCACAACCUAAA
Molecule: microRNA precursor, 81 nt
Filed under: Echinops telfairi (small Madagascar hedgehog)
Lineage: Eukaryota; Metazoa; Chordata; Mammalia; Afrosoricida; Tenrecidae
Description: miRNA (ENSETEG00000021972.1)
Source: RNAcentral